UGGGAACGUACCCUUUGGUUCGGAACAACCCAGGGAAACUUGGGCUAAUACCGGAUAAGUCCGUAAGGAGAAAGAUUUAUCGCCAAAGGAUCGGCCCGCGUCUGAAUAGCUAGUUGGUAGGGUAAUGGCCUACCAAGGCUACGAUCAGUAGCUGGUCUGAGAGGAUGAUCAGCCACAUUGGGACUGAGACACGGCCCAAACUCCUACGGGAGGCAG
This 216-nucleotide ribosomal RNA is filed under the name uncultured bacterium. Its description in RNAcentral is "partial 16S ribosomal RNA". It matches the Rfam family "Bacterial small subunit ribosomal RNA", at positions 118 to 351 of the family's 1533-position model. The record is from RNAcentral.